CAGGGUGUAGUUUAAUGGCAGAGCAUUAGUUUCCAAAACUAAGAAUAUUGGUUCGAAUCCAAUCAUCCUGG
RNAcentral lists this transfer RNA (71 nucleotides) under Hyaloperonospora arabidopsidis Emoy2. Its description in RNAcentral is "Hyaloperonospora arabidopsidis tRNA-Trp for anticodon CCA". It matches the Rfam family "tRNA". Rfam says of the family: Transfer RNA (tRNA) molecules are approximately 80 nucleotides in length. Their secondary structure includes four short double-helical elements and three loops (D, anti-codon, and T loops). The record is from Rfam by way of RNAcentral. Lineage: Eukaryota; Oomycota; Peronosporomycetes; Peronosporales; Peronosporaceae.